This 591-nucleotide ribosomal RNA is filed under the name Enterobacter kobei. RNAcentral describes it as "partial 23S ribosomal RNA". It matches the Rfam family "Bacterial large subunit ribosomal RNA", at positions 2211 to 2801 of the family's 2925-position model. The record is from RNAcentral. Lineage: Bacteria; Pseudomonadati; Pseudomonadota; Gammaproteobacteria; Enterobacterales; Enterobacteriaceae.
UGGCUGGUGUUCUAACGUAGACCCGUGAUCCGGGUUGCGGACAGUGUCUGGUGGGUAGUUUGACUGGGGCGGUCUCCUCCCAAAGAGUAACGGAGGAGCACGAAGGUUAGCUAAUCCUGGUCGGACAUCAGGAGGUUAGUGCAAUGGCAUAAGCUAGCUUGACUGCGAGAGUGACGGCUCGAGCAGGUGCGAAAGCAGGUCAUAGUGAUCCGGUGGUUCUGAAUGGAAGGGCCAUCGCUCAACGGAUAAAAGGUACUCCGGGGAUAACAGGCUGAUACCGCCCAAGAGUUCAUAUCGACGGCGGUGUUUGGCACCUCGAUGUCGGCUCAUCACAUCCUGGGGCUGAAGUAGGUCCCAAGGGUAUGGCUGUUCGCCAUUUAAAGUGGUACGCGAGCUGGGUUUAGAACGUCGUGAGACAGUUCGGUCCCUAUCUGCCGUGGGCGCUGGAGAAUUGAGGGGGGCUGCUCCUAGUACGAGAGGACCGGAGUGGACGCAUCACUGGUGUUCGGGUUGUCAUGCCAAUGGCACUGCCCGGUAGCUAAAUGCGGAAGAGAUAAGUGCUGAAAGCAUCUAAGCACGAAACUUGCCCCG